Molecule: long non-coding RNA, 301 nt
Organism: Esox lucius (northern pike)
Lineage: Eukaryota; Metazoa; Chordata; Actinopteri; Esociformes; Esocidae
Source: Ensembl
CACAGACCGUUGUAACAUGAGACAUUCUGCACACAUGCCGAGCAGGAGCAAGGAAAGAUCUCCCAUGUAUGGAAUUCAGGAAUCAAAGACAGAGGACUUCCUGGUGAUAUCUGGAACAGACAUCGGGACAUCACAACCCCUUUUCUGAUGAUACAUCCCAUCACUGACUGGACACAGACAACUGAGUGUGACUUAUCCAGCCACACGCACAGCAGCCACUGAUUCAAAGGAGCUGCCAUCAGACCCUCUUACUCUAGAUCAACUCUGGAGGUUUCCAUUUGCUCACAGCGCUAAUUAACAG